GGAGAGGUGGCCGAGGGGCCGAAGGCGGCGGUUUGCUAAACCGUUAUCCUGUUGAUAGCGGGAUCAUGGGUUCGAAUCCCAUCCUCUCCGCCA
Molecule: transfer RNA, 93 nt
Filed under: Acidobacteriota bacterium
Lineage: Bacteria; Pseudomonadati; Acidobacteriota
Also listed under: 2 other names
Description: Acidobacteria bacterium tRNA-Ser
Rfam family: tRNA
About the family: Transfer RNA (tRNA) molecules are approximately 80 nucleotides in length.
Source: RNAcentral